RNAcentral lists this transfer RNA (76 nucleotides) under Bacteroidetes bacterium HGW-Bacteroidetes-11. RNAcentral's name for it is "tRNA-Gln". It matches the Rfam family "tRNA". Rfam says of the family: Transfer RNA (tRNA) molecules are approximately 80 nucleotides in length. Lineage: Bacteria; Pseudomonadati; Bacteroidota. The record is from RNAcentral.
UGACCUAUGGUGUAACUGGCAACACGUCUGAUUCUGGAUCAGAAGAGUCUAGGUUCGACCCCUAGUAGGUCAACAA